This 433-nucleotide ribosomal RNA is filed under the name uncultured bacterium. RNAcentral describes it as "partial 16S ribosomal RNA". It matches the Rfam family "Bacterial small subunit ribosomal RNA", at positions 29 to 507 of the family's 1533-position model. The record is from RNAcentral.
AACGAACGCUGGCGGCAGGCCUAACACAUGCAAGUCGAGCGGACCCUUCGGGGUUAGCGGCGGACGGGUGAGUAACGCGUGGGAAUAUGCCCUUCUCUACGGAAUAGUCCUGGGAAACUGGGGGUAAUACCGGAUACGCCCUUUGGGGGAAAGAUUUAUCGGGGAAGGAUUAGCCCGCGUUGGAUUAGGUAGUUGGGGGGGUAAUGGCCUACCAAGCCGACGAUCCAUAGCUGGUUUGAGAGGAUGAUCAGCCACACUGGGACUGAGACACGGCCCAGACUCCUACGGGAGGCAGCAGUGGGGAAUCUUAGACAAUGGGGGCAACCCUGAUCGAGCCAUGCCGCGUGAGUGAUGAAGGCCUUAGGGUUGUAAAGCUCUUUCAGCUGGGAAGAUACUGACGGUACCAGCAGAAGAAGCCCCGGCUAACUCCGUG